UCGAUAUCGAAACGAAAGGGAUGAAGAGGUCUCGAGGGGGCGAGAAGGAUGGCAGAGGGGAACGUUGAAGUCGCGAAACGCAAGUGGGCAGAUACACGGGCCGAGUUCGAGGCGGUUAUCAGUCCUCGUCCCGGGGAGUAGUUAAAGUACACGGGAGUUCGGCCUACAAGAGGUAGACCGUUGUACCAGAUUCCUAUCUGCGUAAUUAUUCCGUCUAAGCGAAACUUUCCGUUUAUCCUUGAGAAUUCGCGGCUUGCAUUAAUCUCAAUUAACAAGGAGGCGCAACAUCCGUGGCGCACCGAUCAUCUACCCUGUCGGCUACCUACGCUGCGCUAAAUCGGUUCUAAUUUCUUAACUGAUCGUGCCAGGGAACCUACUACUCCAAGUGCGAUAUCGUGUUUCUCAUUUCUUUCCUUUUCGCUUGCUUUACGUUUGUCCUUUCCUCUCUCUCUCUCUCUCUCUUUCUCUUUCCGGUAGCAUUGUGUCUUUGAUCUUCAUCUUUCGACGAUUCUUUUUUACCCCUUUCUUACCCUUUUCUCAGUCUUAUUUCUCUUUUCCCUUUGCUGGAGACAUGCUCCGCUGCAUUUUGAAAACUUUGCUCGAAUAUGGUUCGAGAAAAGUGUCAGACGUUGGCCAAGUAAUACGAGUCGGUUUUUCGUAUUAUCGUCUUUAUUAUUUCCACGGCGAAAACGCGGUUGAUAGCGUCUCAAAUAAGUGGAAUACCGUGUUUCCUAUUUUUCCAGACAGCCCUUUCCGAGAUGUCUUACGAUACACCUGGCCAUAUACCGCCAGUUUCUCGUUUGUCUCUUUCUUCCGUUUCUUUUCUUUUCUCGUGUCGAUAAGUUUCGUCUCUUUGGAUUUCGUUUCGAAGUAUCACCAAUUACGCGAACUGUCAUUCGUUCCGAUAAUCGAUCACACUUUCAGUUAUUUCUUCAGUUAUUUGUUUUUAAACGUUGUUUGUAACGUUUUCGCAACGUACAAACUGCAUACUCAAGUUAUCAAGGAUUAAUACUUUUAUCUCUUCUCCUUUUAUUUUCGUUGCGUCUCUCGCGCUGCUUCAGCUCGGUAUAUCGAGGCUGAAAUCUCCUUACACAAGCUACUUUUGUCUCUUUCCUUACUCGUAUGUCCAUCUAUUAAGGUUACACGUGAAUCUAUGGCCGAAGCCGAUGCCGUUACCGUAAGUUACGCUGCUCAGGGGAGAAUAACUCUCUCGCAAGGGAGUUUCGAUCAGUUUCACGGCGCGAAUCUCGGCCAAAUGGAAGAUUCGCGUGUCGAUUAGAAAACGGAUGUACAUCGGAAACGCAUUAACUUGCCUCGGUCAGAAUCUUUUCGAUAUUUCUCUCGUUGAACCAACUCGUGGAAUUGCAAAUUUACUUAUCCUCUUCGAUACAUUGUGAAAGUAUCGAGAUUCAUCCCAUUGACCAGGGUAAUAAAUAUUCGUUUCAUUUUUUAACUAUACUUUAGAAUAAUAAUUCCACAAUUUGUACA
This is a long non-coding RNA of Apis dorsata (giant honeybee), 1488 nucleotides long. RefSeq lists it as uncharacterized. The record is from RefSeq and is a predicted model, not a curated record. The transcript has 3 exons. NCBI's taxonomy places the organism in Eukaryota, Metazoa, Arthropoda, Insecta, Hymenoptera, Apidae.